Molecule: long non-coding RNA, 1020 nt
Filed under: Oryctolagus cuniculus (rabbit)
Lineage: Eukaryota; Metazoa; Chordata; Mammalia; Lagomorpha; Leporidae
Description: lncRNA (ENSOCUG00000034058.1)
Source: RNAcentral
GCAAUCCCAACACUGGAUUCUAAAGUUACUGUAGGCUGGAACUCAGAUUCUUCCAGUCACUGCUGUAACUCCAGGACCUGGAACAGUGCCUAGCUUAAUAAAUAUUUACUAAAUGUCUGAUAACUUAACAAUACCUCAGUAAAAUUUACCGAUAAAUGAGGGCGGAACCACAUGAAUGAGUCUCAACUGCAUUAUGCUGAGUAAAAGGCAUUAACGCUCACAAGUUCAUGGCCAUGGUUUGCCUGUCGUUCAGCUUCCAAGGGUCUGUGUGUUGGAAGCUUGGUCCCCUGAGGGGCGAUAUUGGGGUGUGGUGGAGUCUUUAAGAGGUGGGCCUAGUGGGAAGUGGUUAGAUCACUGUAGAUGCUGCCCUUGGAAGGGACUAAUGCAGUUCCUGUGGAAGCCCAGUUAGUUCCCACGAGAGUGAGUUCUCUCCCAACUUUCUGUCUCCGAGACCAUGGAAAAUCUAAUGGAUCACCAGCCCUGUGUCCACCAGAAUAAUAUUUUUUCCUGUCUGCUAUAGUACAGGUGGGUAUCUUCCUCCUUUACAUUUAACCUCAUUAAGUAAAUCAGUAAACCAUUGUCGUUGUCCUAUUUAGGUUUUCUACACUUUCUGCAUGCAGCGACAAGAGGAAGUUUCUGUUGUAAAACGUGGGAUGAUCAUGAUACCGUCUUCUCAGCGUUUUUGUGAGGAUUAAAUUGCAAAGUGUUUGUAAAUUGCUCCGAAGGCUUUCUGACAUAUCUGAAGAACUGUACGUGCUACUGUAUUUUAAGAUUUAUUUAUUUAUUUGAAAGUCAGAGUUACACAGAGAGAGAAAGAGAGGCAGAGAGAGAGAGGUCUUCCAUCCGAGGUUCAUUUCCCAGAUGGCUGCAACAGCCAGAGCUGUGCUGAUCUGAAGCCAGGAGCCAGGAGCUUCUUCCGGGUCUCCCACACGGGUGCAGGGGCCCAAGGACUUGGGCCAUCUUCUACUGCUUUCCCGGGCCAUAGCAGAGAGCUGGAUAGAAAGUGGAGCAGCCAGGACU